RNAcentral lists this ribosomal RNA (253 nucleotides) under uncultured bacterium. RNAcentral's name for it is "partial 16S ribosomal RNA". It matches the Rfam family "Bacterial small subunit ribosomal RNA", at positions 524 to 776 of the family's 1533-position model. The record is from RNAcentral.
UACGGGGGGGGCAAGCGUUGUCCGGAUUUAUUGGGCGUAAAGAGCGUGUAGGCGGCCAUACAGGUCCGUUGUGAAAACUGGAGGCUCAACCUCCAGACGUCGACGGAAACCGUAUGGCUAGAGUCCGGAAGAGGAGAGUGGAAUUCCUGGUGUAGCGGUGAAAUGCGCAGAUAUCAGGAAGAACACCCGUGGCGAAGGCGGCUCUCUGGGACGGUACUGACGCUGAGACGCGAAAGCGUGGGGAGCGAACAGG